This 253-nucleotide ribosomal RNA is filed under the name uncultured bacterium. RNAcentral describes it as "partial 16S ribosomal RNA". It matches the Rfam family "Bacterial small subunit ribosomal RNA", at positions 524 to 776 of the family's 1533-position model. The record is from RNAcentral.
UACAGAGGGUGCAAGCGUUAAUCGGAGUUACUGGGCGUAAAGGGCGCGUAGGCGGAAAUUUAAGUCGGGUGUGAAAUCCCUGGGCUCAACCUAGGAACUGCACUCGAUACUGGGUUUCUCGAGUAUGGUAGAGGAAAGUGGAAUUCUCGGUGUAGUGGUAAAAUACGUAGAUAUCGAGAAGAACACCGGUGGCGAAGGCGGCUUUCUGGACCAAUACUGACGCUGAGGCGCGAAAGCGUGGGGAGCAAACAGG